Non-coding RNA from Sesamum indicum (sesame), 1640 nucleotides. Lineage: Eukaryota; Viridiplantae; Streptophyta; Magnoliopsida; Lamiales; Pedaliaceae. The record is from RefSeq and is a predicted model, not a curated record.
AUAGAAUCCCUUUGUGUGUUUGUGCGGUUGGAACACCCCGGACACUUGUUCAUGGAAACUAGUCUUAUAAUAACACCGUUGCAAUUGAGCACAUCACAGCUGGAAUUGCGUAUAGUAGGCCAGAGAUAUGUAUUGCUUCCUAGGCUUCGAGUUUGUGUAAUACCUAGUGUAGAAACAUUAUUAUUUACUUUAUCUCACGUGGAAAUUAUAUAAAUCUAAAGAGUCUCGUGCUAGUAUUUCUUGAAAUUCUGUUUGAUAAGGAUUUUAUAGUGUAUGAAAGUUAUGAGAAUAUGUGUUCUCCUUAUGCUCAUUAUUCCAAUAAUUGAGUGGAUUCCUUCCCUCGUGCUGUAUUGUUGUUUUGGAGCUUGCCCGAGAAGCUUCCCUUCUAGGAGAUUCGCCACGUCACCAAAACAUUGCUCCCAUCUUUUCAGUGACCAUACUGAAAUAUGUGAGUGGUGGUGGCAUAUUGAUGGUAGCUAGGAUAUUUUUGGAUCCUUUUGUAUUCGUUUGACAUGCCUCUCACACAUUUCUUUCAGUGCUAUUCAAGAGAGGGAAUUUUCAUUGAUAGGGCUUGAUGCCAUCUUAUCACCUACCUACUGAAAUAUGUGAAUUAAUGUGGAUUGAUCCAUUGUUUAUUUUAUAAUCCUAUUUAAAUUGCUGUUUUGAUGAUUCCUUAGGCAUGUGAAGACAAAGCAUCUACAAUGGAUUGUGUGGGACAAAUCCUGAGUCGACAAGAUAAAGAUGGAUGCUAUACAAAAGAGAAAAAGAAAGAAUAUGAAACAAUGAAACCAAAGAGAAUAUCAAAGGAGGAGAUACUUCGUCUAAUGGAGGAAAAGAAACAACUGAAAGAACAAGAGAAGCUGCUUACAGCUGCUUCAAAAGCCAAAGGUGCUGAGAUGAAAAAAUAUAAGGAGAUGCAGUAGUGGGAAAUGGGGAAAUAUACUCUAAAAGCCAUUGUAGGUGAAAUUGACAAAAAAGUGGUCGAAUUGGGAUCAAUUGGAGAUUUCUCAAGAUGCAUUUGGAGACGAGCAGAAGAAACAAAGAAAAAAAGGAAAUAUCCGCAAAAAUUAAAGAAAGAAAAACAAACACAAGAAAGCUAUAUAUACAAAAAAAAAAAAAGAAGAAGAAAAAAAAGAAAAAAAUGCAAUAUCUACAAGAGAUAAGAAAAAGAAAAAAGCAAUAUCCACUCGCUAACUGGAGUUGUUGUUCUGGAUACAGAGACAAUGGAGUGCUUGGAAAACAAUUUUUGCUGCUUGUAAGAUGAAGACACAACCUACGCUGUUGCUGCAUGCAAAGGUACUUGGUUUGUGGUUUGCUGUUUAAGUGAGAUGGUUAUUGGUUAAUUUUAUUUUGGUUAUAGCAUGUAGUUUCCAUCAAUAAUCUAGAAAGUGGCUUGCGUAGUUGUUGGUAGUCGUCUAUCACGUCCACAAAGUUACUCGUAGUAACUCAUAAUGCUUGAAUCAAACUAGCUUUUCAAAUAAAAAUGGAAUCACUUUCUCUGCUUGUGUGGUUGGAAGACCACGAACACUUGUUUAUGGAAACCGGUCAUAUAAUAACAGUCUUGCAAUUGAGCACAUACACCUGGAAUUGAGUAUAGUAGGCCAUUUAGGCCAAAAUGGAACAUAACAAUUGGCUUAUUU